Molecule: ribosomal RNA, 382 nt
Filed under: uncultured bacterium
Lineage: Bacteria
Description: bacterial SSU rRNA
Rfam family: Bacterial small subunit ribosomal RNA
Source: RNAcentral
GACGAACGCUGGCGGCGUGCUUAACACGUGCAAGUCGAGCGGUAAGGCCCUUUCGGGGGUACACGAGCGGCGAACGGGUGAGUAACACGUGGGUGACCUGCCCUCAGCUCUGGGAUAAGCCUGGGAAACCGGGUCUAAUACCGGAUAUGACUCCAUGACGCAUGUUGUGGGGUGGAAAGCCUUGUGCGGCUGAGGAUGGGCCCGCGGCCUAUCAGCUUGUUGGUGGGGUGAUGGCCACCAAGGCGACGACGGGUAGCCGGCCUGAGAGGGCGACCGGCCACACUGGGACUGAGACACGGCCCAGACUCCUACGGGAGGCAGCAGUGGGGAAUCUUGCGCAAUGGGCGAAAGCCUGACGCAGCGACGCCGCGUGAGGGAUGAC